GUUCAGCACUAAGUCACUUUGUCUUUAUGGCAAAUGUGAGAUGCAGUGUAUGGAAUGUCAAAUUUCUAGUAUGAGAAAUUAACGAUUUAAGUCCUUCUUAAAUGAGGCCAUUUACCCAUAGAGGGUGCCAGGCCCGUAUAACGUUAAUGAUUACUAGAUGGCAUUUCCAAAGAGUCGUGUUGCUUGAUAGUGCAGCACUAAGUGGGUGGUAAACUCCAUCUAAAACUAAAUAUAACCAUGAGACCGAUAGUAAACAAGUACCGUGAGGGAAAGUUGAAAAGAACUCUGAAUAGAGAGUUAAAUAGUACGUGAAACUGCUUAGAGGUUAAGCCCGAUGAACCUGAAUAUCCAUUAUAGAAAAUUCAUCAUUAUGAUUUUAAUAUUAAUAAUAUUAUAAUAAUGGUGUGCAUUUUUUCUAUAACGGACAUUGUAAUCUAUUAACAUAAAUAUAUUUAUCAUAAGAUCAAUGAUGCGUAAGUUUAUUCAAAUUAUUUUGCUUGCAAUUUAACAUAGAAUAAAUGCUCUUGAUUUGAUAAAGUGUUGAUAGAUUUAUUGUAUAUAGUGCUUAAAUAUUUAUAUUUUAUAAUAGCAUAUUAAUCAUUGAUUUUUAUGUUUAUUAUAUGCACUUAUAUGAUUAACAAUGCGAAAGAUUCAGGAUACCUUCGGGACCCGUCUUGAAACACGGACCAAGGAGUCUAACAUAUUUGCAAGUUAUUGGGUAUCAAAACCUAAUAGCGAAAUUAACAUGACUUUUUAAUGGGAUUAGUUUUUAGAUUAUUUAUAGUCUAUUAAUUCAAUCCCGGGGCGUUCUAUAUAGUUAUGUAUAAUAAUAUUUAUAUUAUUUAUACCUCUAACUAGAGCGUACCUUGAGCAUAUAUGCUGUGACCCGAAAGAUGGUGAACUAUACUUGAUCAGGUUGAAGUCAGGGGAAACCCUGAUGGAAGACCGAAACAGUUCUGACGUGCAAAUCGAUUGUCAGAAUUGAGUAUAGGGGCGAAAGACCAAUCGA
RNAcentral lists this ribosomal RNA (1009 nucleotides) under Sarcophaga setinervis. Its description in RNAcentral is "eukaryotic LSU rRNA". It matches the Rfam family "Eukaryotic large subunit ribosomal RNA", at positions 107 to 938 of the family's 3401-position model. Lineage: Eukaryota; Metazoa; Arthropoda; Insecta; Diptera; Sarcophagidae. The record is from RNAcentral.